GACGAACGCUGGCGGCGUGCUUAACACAUGCAAGUCGAACGGAAAGGCCCUGCUUUUGUGGGGUGCUCGAGUGGCGAACGGGUGAGUAACACGUGAGUAUCCUGCCCUUGACUUUGGGAUAACUUCAGGAAACUGGGGCUAAUACCGGAUAGGAGCUCCUGCUGCAUGGUGGGGGUUGGAAAGUUUCGGCGGUUGGGGAUGGACUCGCGGCUUAUCAGCUUGUUGGUGGGGUAGUGGCUUACCAAGCCUUUGACGGGUAGCCGGCAUGAGAGGGUGAACGGGCACAAUGGGACUGCGAUACGGCCCAGACGCGUAUCGUAGGCAGCAGUGGGGAAUAUGGCGGAAUGGGCGGAAGCCUGAUACAGCAACGCUGCGUGCGGGAAGACGGCCUUCGGGUUAUAAACCGCUUUCGCCGGUGACGAAGAGUGAGUGACGGUAAUGAAUAAAGAAGCACCGGCUAACUACGUG
Molecule: ribosomal RNA, 468 nt
Filed under: uncultured bacterium
Lineage: Bacteria
Description: partial 16S ribosomal RNA
Rfam family: Bacterial small subunit ribosomal RNA
Source: RNAcentral